GGAAAAUAGUUUAUAAAUGUAAUAUCAAAAAGUAAUAAUCUGAAGGAUUGAAUUAGAUAAUCCACUUUAAAAUUACAAGAACGUGAAAUAUGAGAUAGCGAGAAAGAUGGAAAGGAAAAACAAAACACCCCAAUCUCAGGGUUCACGUGGCUUAAGUUGUUGCUUCUUUAUUGAUUUUGCGCAUUGGUCAUAGGAUUGUUGCUUAUGUACUCAUAUGUAAACUCCCAUUCUUUCAUAUCAUUCAUAGCAAGAAAUAGAACAUUUCCCGAGAGUAGACUCUUUCGUUGAAACACUAGUAAAUUCCUACUCUUUCACAAUCUCCAAAGGAUCAAUUUGGAAAUUUUUUGGAUUUGUGGCUGAGCUUGAUUACUAAGAUUUCUUAGACAUCUUCCUUUGCAGCUAGUACUUCUCUAAUUUUUGUUUCGUUCCAGCUGUUUCCUGUGGCUUUCACCCAGUCUUUAACCAUAUAAUUUCCAACAGUUGGAUUACGAGGUCUUGGUAGUCUUGGUGGAUGUGAAGGCAACCAGGGAUCGGACCAAGUGUUGAUCAUCAAGCCGUCUCCAAGCAUCCGAAGGCGAGAGAAGGGUGGAAAUUAAGAUAUUAUAUUACGAGCACAUGUACGACAAGAAGGAUUCCAAUUCUGGCAAAGACAGUAUUGAUUUUCGUUAGAUCUUUUUUUGUAUCAGCACAUGUAUGGGAAGAAGGAAUCCAUCUUAGGCAAGACAAUAUCAAAUUUUCUAUCAAAUAUCAGAUAUACUUGUCUUAAAGUAUUUACCUUUUAUUGAUUUAGUUGUCAGAUCAAGCAAGCAAACAAAAACUGAAAGAACUCUCCAAUGGACAUGUAGAUAUGAUCUGUGAUGAAAGUAGACAGAAACUUUAAGCUUUAAUUUGUCGGGAAAAUGUGACAGAAGUGAUGCAAGGAUGCAUUGUGUCAACGGUAUGGUACGGUUUGUCUUCUUUUGUUUUGUUUAUUUUGUUUUUUUUUUGUUUUGUUUAUUUGAGACUUUUAAUUAGCAUAACAUCUGUCAAGUUGGUUAGGUAGGAAUUUGAUAACAGACUUUUUUUUUUUUUUUAAAAGAUAAAACUUUGAGACUUUUAACUGUAAUAGAAUGUUAGAUCAUGUACUUUUUAAAAGAUAUAUAU
This is a long non-coding RNA of Arabidopsis lyrata subsp. lyrata, 1143 nucleotides long. RefSeq lists it as uncharacterized. Lineage: Eukaryota; Viridiplantae; Streptophyta; Magnoliopsida; Brassicales; Brassicaceae. The transcript has 3 exons. The record is from RefSeq and is a predicted model, not a curated record.